GAUGAAGAACGUAGCGAAAUGCAAUACUUGGUGUGAAUUGCAGAAUCCCGUGAACCAUCGAGUCUUUGAACGCAAGUUGCGCCCGAAGCCAUUAGGCCGAGGGCACGCCUGCCUGGGCGUCACACGUCGUUGCCCCCCCAUCUACUCCUUCGGGAUUGCGGGGGGCGGAUGAUGGCCUCCCGUGCGCCUCGUCGCGCGGUUGGCAUAAAUACCAAGUCCUCGGCGACGCACGCCACGACAAUCGGUGGUUGCGAAACCUCGGUUGCCCGUCGUGUGCGGUCGUCGCGCAUCGAGGGCUCGAAAAAAUUGCCGGGCUCCGGCUCGGCUUUCAACGCGACCCCAGGUCAGGCGGGGUUACCCGCUGAAUUUAAGCAUAUCAAUAAGCGAGGA
Molecule: unclassified non-coding RNA, 390 nt
Filed under: soil metagenome
Description: partial contains 5.8S ribosomal RNA, internal transcribed spacer 2, and large subunit ribosomal RNA
Rfam family: 5.8S ribosomal RNA (bases 1-122)
Source: RNAcentral